AUACGUAGGGGGCGAGCGUUGUCCGGAUUUACUGGGCGUAAAGGGAGCGUAGGCGGAUUUUUAAGUGGGAUGUGAAAUACUCGGGCUUAACCUGAGUUCUGCAUUUCAAACUGGAAGUCUAGAGUGCAGGAGAGGAGAAGGGAAUUCCUAGUGUAGCGGUGAAAUGCGUAGAGAUUAGGAAGAACACCAGUGGCGAAGGCGCUUCUCUGGACUGUAACUGACGCUGAGGCUCGAAAGCGUGGGGAGC
RNAcentral lists this ribosomal RNA (247 nucleotides) under uncultured bacterium. RNAcentral's name for it is "partial 16S ribosomal RNA". It matches the Rfam family "Bacterial small subunit ribosomal RNA", at positions 523 to 769 of the family's 1533-position model. The record is from RNAcentral.